RNAcentral lists this unclassified non-coding RNA (205 nucleotides) under Glomeraceae sp. Its description in RNAcentral is "partial contains 5.8S ribosomal RNA and internal transcribed spacer 2". The stretch from base 1 to 65 matches the Rfam family "5.8S ribosomal RNA", at positions 84 to 154 of the family's 154-position model. Lineage: Eukaryota; Fungi; Glomeromycota; Glomeromycetes; Glomerales; Glomeraceae. The record is from RNAcentral.
GUGAAUCAUCAAAUCUUUGAACGCAAAUUGCACUCUCUUCGGAGAGUAUGAAUGUUUGAGGGUCAGAAUAAAAAAAAUCGACAUAGUUGUUGUUAAGCGGUAACAUUCGUCGGAAAGUGGGUUAUGUGAAACCUUUGGGUUUAAGCGGAUGAAAAUGUUCUUGACGAGGACAAGAACGGGGCGAAGAGGGGAGGUGAGGAGACGG